Molecule: long non-coding RNA, 224 nt
Organism: Daphnia pulicaria
Lineage: Eukaryota; Metazoa; Arthropoda; Branchiopoda; Diplostraca; Daphniidae
Exons: 2
Source: RefSeq, a predicted model, not a curated record
CCUCGGUAAGACAUUAAAUCAAUCAAAUUGAACACAAACUGCUAAGAUGCCAACUCAAAGAUUAGAUUUCCAAAACAGCGUCAUAGAAUUAAGAAAGUGGGAAAAUGUCUUCUUCCAGGAGCCAUCCGGUAAAGUGAAAACUGCCACCGCCGCGUAGAUAUACACCUGGUCCCUGUUCCACAAUCUUUAACGAAAUUGUGUCUCCCUUUCUUAAAUCAAGCGUU